CCUACGGGAGGCAGCAGUGGGGAAUAUUGCACAAUGGGGGAAACCCUGAUGCAGCGACGCCGCGUGAGCGAAGAAGUAUUUCGGUAUGUAAAGCUCUAUCAGCAGGGAAGAAAAUGACGGUACCUGACCACGAAGCCCCGGCUAACUACGUGCCAGCAGCCGCGGUAAUACGUAGGGGGCAAGCGUUAUCCGGAUUUACUGGGGGUAAAGGGAGCGUAGACGGGGGUGCAAGCCAGGCGUGAAAGGCCGGGGCUCAACCCCGGGACUGCAGUUGAAACUGUGGAGCUGGAGUGCAGGAGAGGUAGGCGGAAUUCCUAGUGUAGCGGUGAAAUGCGUAGAUAUUAGGAGGAACACCAGUGGCGAAGGCGGCUUGCUGGACUGUGACUGACGUUGAGGCUCGAAAGCGUGGGGAGCAAACAGGAUUAGAUACCCCAGUAGUC
This 440-nucleotide ribosomal RNA is filed under the name uncultured bacterium. Its description in RNAcentral is "partial 16S ribosomal RNA". It matches the Rfam family "Bacterial small subunit ribosomal RNA", at positions 338 to 795 of the family's 1533-position model. The record is from RNAcentral.